This 435-nucleotide ribosomal RNA is filed under the name uncultured bacterium. RNAcentral describes it as "partial 16S ribosomal RNA". It matches the Rfam family "Bacterial small subunit ribosomal RNA", at positions 29 to 507 of the family's 1533-position model. The record is from RNAcentral.
AGCGAACGCUGGCGGCAGGCUUAACACAUGCCAGUCGAACGCAUCACUUCGGUGGUGCGUGGCAGACGGGUGAGUAACACGUGGGAACGUACCCUUCGAUCUGGGCUAACUUCGGGAAACUGGAGCUAAUACCGGAUACGCCCUUUUGGGGAAAGGUUUACUGUCGAAGGAUCGGCCCGCGUCUGAUUAGCUAGUGGGUGGGGUAACGGCCUACCAAGGCGACGAUCAGUAGCUGGUCUGAGAGGAUGAUCAGCCACACUGGGACUGAGACACGGCCCAGACUCCUACGGGAGGCAGCAGUGGGGAAUAUUGGACAAUGGGCGCAAGCCUGAUCCAGCCAUGCCGCGUGAGUGAUGAAGGCCUUAGGGUUGUAAAGCUCUUUUGUCCGGGACGAUAAUGACGGUACCGGAAGAAUAAGCCCCGGCUAACUUCGUG